UGUUCUAAGCAGAGAUUAACAGUCCUCAGCUUUCUGCCUUGCACAUAACUGGCUGGCCCGAGGCAGCUGUCCUGAUUGGCCGGAGCUUCCUCGCGCCCGCUACGAAGAGGAACCACCGGAGCUUCCCUGGGCCCGGUACUGGGAGGAGCCGCCGGAACUCCCCCGCGCCCACUACGAAGAGGAGCUGUCAGAGCCUCCCCGUCCCUGCUGUUACCCAGAGGAGCCGCCCGAGCACGCCUGGCCGGACUUCCCCGAGUAGCUGCCGGACCUGCCACCAAGCCCUGGCCUUGAGGAGCCUAUGCUGAUUGACUGGCCUGGACCCGGUGCCCUGGACGAGCUGCGCUUGCAGAGGAAUUGUCCAGGAGCCCCAGCCCAAGGAGAAACUGGC
This is a long non-coding RNA of Mauremys mutica (yellowpond turtle), 388 nucleotides long. RefSeq lists it as uncharacterized. The transcript has 3 exons. Lineage: Eukaryota; Metazoa; Chordata; Testudines; Geoemydidae. The record is from RefSeq and is a predicted model, not a curated record.